Puntigrus tetrazona (Sumatra barb) is the source of this 280-nucleotide long non-coding RNA. RefSeq lists it as uncharacterized. Lineage: Eukaryota; Metazoa; Chordata; Actinopteri; Cypriniformes; Cyprinidae. The record is from RefSeq and is a predicted model, not a curated record. The transcript has 3 exons.
AGGUGAUAAUGAGAAGAUGAAGAUUUAGCUUUUUGGAAAACACUGCAAAAGGACAUUUGCUUUGAUUAACGAUGCAGAGCAGGCCUUCUCAGACCUGCCCAUCACAACACCUAAGAUGAAGGUUCAAGGCUGUAAGGAGGGUCAUCCUGUGCAGCAUGACAACAUUGUGCUCAGGUUGGAUGGACAGAUAAUCAGAAAGGAGAGUGAGGACAUCUCAAUGGCACUGAGAUUCCUCCUGUCUUUAUAUCUUGUGUUUGGAAUCCAGUAUCCUGGCUUGUAA